CCUACGGGAGGCAGCAGUGAGGAAUAUUGGUCAAUGGCCGGGAGCCUGAACCAGCCAAGCCGCGUGAGGGAAGAAGGUACCGCGUAUCGUAAACUUCUUUUGUCAAGGGACAAAUUCGGGGCCUAUACCCCGGCUGAGGGUCCCUGAAGCAAAAGCAUCGGCUAACUCCGUGCCAGCAGCCGCGGUACUACGGAGGAUGCGAGCGUUAUCCGGAUUUAUUGGGUUUAAAGGGUGCGCAUGCGGGCUGUUACGUCAGCGGUAAAAGCCCGGGGCUCAACCCCGGCGAGCCGGUGACACUGGCUGUCUUGAGAUGGAGAGAAGUACGCGGAAUGCGCGGUGUAGAGGUGAAAUGCUUAGAUAUUGCGCAGAACCCCGAUUGCGAAGGCAGCGUACCGGCGGCGCACUGACGCUGAGGCACGAAAGCGUGGGUAUCGAACAGGAUUAGAUACCCCUGUAGUC
Molecule: ribosomal RNA, 459 nt
Filed under: uncultured bacterium
Lineage: Bacteria
Description: partial 16S ribosomal RNA
Rfam family: Bacterial small subunit ribosomal RNA
Source: RNAcentral